This 359-nucleotide ribosomal RNA is filed under the name Amphigerontia jezoensis. RNAcentral describes it as "partial 12S ribosomal RNA". The record is from RNAcentral. Lineage: Eukaryota; Metazoa; Arthropoda; Insecta; Psocodea; Psocidae.
CCCUAUUAUAAUUAAUGUAAUUAAAGUUUUUAGUAGUAUAUGAUUCGGGCAGGAAACUUAAAGAAUUUGGCGGUGUGUAUUCUGAUUAGAGGAAUAUGAUUUUUAAUUGAUAACCCACAAAUAUCUUACUUGAAUUUAUUUAUUUUGUAUACCUCCGUCUUAAAAAGAUUUUUUAAAAUAUUUUUUAUAUCUUGAAGGUUAAAAAAAGUCAGGUCAAGGUGCAGAUUAUAUUUAAGUUAAAUUGUAUUACAAUAAAUUUAUUUUUGGUUCUUUUCUGAACAGGUUAAGUUAAAUUGGAUUUAUAAGUAAAUAAUUUUUAUAAUAAUUUAUUGAAUUAUGUUAAUACACAUGUACACAUC